GCCGAGACCAUCCAAGCCAAAUUCUUACCCAGGACAUCCAGCAUCCAAACUCAAUACCCACCUCCUUCCUUCAAUCGAGCAUUAGAGCCUACUCAUUUACUAUUCACUUUACUAGCUUUUUUCUAUUAAUUGAAAAGAAAAAGAAUCAAAUUGUUAUCUUAUCCCUAGAAAUUGUGUAUGCACAUGCAGUUUGUGCUGCAUCAUCAAAGAAUCUUUCAACUAG
RNAcentral lists this unclassified non-coding RNA (223 nucleotides) under Hevea brasiliensis (rubber tree). Lineage: Eukaryota; Viridiplantae; Streptophyta; Magnoliopsida; Malpighiales; Euphorbiaceae. The record is from RNAcentral.